AACGAACGCUGGCGGCAUGCCUAACACGUGCAAGUCGAACGAGACCUUCGGGCCUAGUGGCGCACGGGUGCGUAACGCGUGGGAACCUGCCCUUAGGUUCGGAAUAACUCCCCGAAAGGGGUGCUAAUACCGGAUAAUGUCUUCGGACCAAAGAUUUAUCGCCUUUGGAUGGGCCCGCGUUGGAUUAGCUAGUUGGUAGGGUAAAGGCCUACCAAGGCGACGAUCCAUAGCUGGUCUGAGAGGAUGAUCAGCCACACUGGGACUGAGACACGGCCCAGACUCCUACGGGAGGCAGCAGUGGGGAAUAUUGGACAAUGGGCGAAAGCCUGAUCCAGCAAUGCCGCGUGAGUGAUGAAGGCCUUAGGGUUGUAAAGCUCUUUUACCCGGGAUGAUAAUGACAGUACCGGGAGAAUAAGCUCCGGCUAACUCCGUG
RNAcentral lists this ribosomal RNA (433 nucleotides) under uncultured bacterium. RNAcentral's name for it is "partial 16S ribosomal RNA". It matches the Rfam family "Bacterial small subunit ribosomal RNA", at positions 29 to 507 of the family's 1533-position model. The record is from RNAcentral.